Molecule: ribosomal RNA, 392 nt
Filed under: uncultured bacterium
Lineage: Bacteria
Description: partial 16S ribosomal RNA
Rfam family: Bacterial small subunit ribosomal RNA
Source: RNAcentral
AUACGGAGGAUCCGAGCGUUAUCCGGAUUUAUUGGGUUUAAAGGGUGCGCAGGCGGCCAUUUAAGUCAGCGGUUAAAUCGUGGGGCUCAACCCCAUUCUGCCGUUGAUACUGGGUGGCUUGAUUGCGGUCGAGGUUGGCGGAAUUCGUUGUGUAGCGGUGAAAUGCAUAGAUAUGACGAAGAACACCGAUUGCGUAGGCAGCUGACCAGACCGCAAAUGACGCUCAUGCACGAAAGUGCGGGGAUCGAACAGGAUUAGAUACCCUGGUAGUCCGCACAGUAAACGAUGAAUUCUUGUUUUCGGCGAUAUAAUGUCGGAUGAAAAGCGAAAGCGAUAAGUAUUCCACCUGGGGAGUACGCCGGCAACGGUGAAACUCAAAGGAAUUGGCGGGG